This 335-nucleotide unclassified non-coding RNA is filed under the name soil metagenome. Its description in RNAcentral is "partial contains 5.8S ribosomal RNA, internal transcribed spacer 2, and large subunit ribosomal RNA". The stretch from base 1 to 120 matches the Rfam family "5.8S ribosomal RNA", at positions 35 to 154 of the family's 154-position model. The record is from RNAcentral.
GAUGAAGAACGUAGCGAAAUGCGAUAAGUAAUGUGAAUUGCAGAAUUCAGUGAAUCAUCGAAUCUUUGAACGCACAUUGCGCCCGCCAGUAUUCUGGCGGGCAUGCCUGUUCGAGCGUCAUUUCAACCAUCAAGCCCCAGGCUUGUGUUGGGGACCUGCGGCUGCCGCAGGCCCUGAAAACCAGUGGCGGGCUCGCUAGUCACACCGAGCGUAGUAGCAUACACAUCGCUCAGGGCGUGCUGCGGGUUCCGGCCGUUAAACCCCUUUUUUACCCAAGGUUGACCUCGGAUCAGGUAGGAAGACCCGCUGAACUUAAGCAUAUCAUAAGCGGAGGA